RNAcentral lists this long non-coding RNA (1190 nucleotides) under Capra hircus (goat). RNAcentral describes it as "lncRNA (ENSCHIG00010001314.1)". Lineage: Eukaryota; Metazoa; Chordata; Mammalia; Artiodactyla; Bovidae. The record is from RNAcentral.
AGUGACAGGACGACCGGGGACAGCGACAGGGGCCCUGUGAGUAUAGGGGCAACACCCAGAGCUGUGGCCCAAAGAUGGGCAGAUCUGGAGGGGCUAACGCGGGCGGAAACCGUCCGUACCAGUCGCCGCCGCCACAGCCGCCUCCAGCGGUCCCAGGCCCGUACUCUUCCCGUCUUCAAAAUGGCGGCGCGACGGCAGAGGGAGUAGCGCUGACGCUGGCAGUGACCAGACUGAAGAAGUUGCUUUCGAGCGCAUGGAUGGGAAUGAUCCUCGAGCCGAUGCUGCGCACGCGCACGGGAGGCCCACGUAGCACCGCCCUUUCAUUGGCUAGUCCACCGCCCCCACGUACGAGGAGGAAAGGUGAGGUGUGGCUAAGGACUUGUGGGCUGGAGGUCAAGGCUCCAGAGCUGCGUUCGGCACUCAUUUAAUUUCGAUCAUUAACUCACCGAUGUAUUUGAAAGCCUCCUCUUGCCCCAAGACUUUAUUGCUCAAAGGAGGCUCUAUCCUACAAGAGUGUUUAUCUACCCAACAGCUGGGCUGGGGGAGUAGUAGUGUUUCCAUAGCAUAAACGAGGACAGUGUGAUUCAGAGAGGCUGAGUAAACUGCCUGAUGCCACACAGCUACAUGCAGUGAUGAGUAUGAGUUUCAAACUUGGAUUUGUCUGGCUCCAAAAUCUCUGUCUUCCAUGCCAGUAAAACAAAGGAGGAGAAGAACAAGAGAUGGUACGCCUAGAUGGCCAGGUGAAGAUGGAGCACUGCCAAGCAAGCCCCAAGGAAAUGUGCAGCCUCCACAGGAUGUUUUAUUACUGGCUUCUGAGGAAGUGGUUAUCUUCCGUCCACAGACUUGGAACUGUGCAUCUCUGCCGAAUGUAUAUCUCAGUCUUGGCCACUCCCUGGAAUCUAACUCAUGGACCAAACUGCCAUCUUAACAUCUCAUUUAAGUUUCUUCUUGACCCUCUUGUAAUUUUGUACAGUCAUCACUACAUUGCUCACAAGAAUGACUCUUACCCUCAUCCAGGAGAUCACUGGGGAUCCUCUGCAUCAUUCACACGAGAAGAUGGUAGGUUGGAGCUUGGAACAAUGUUUGGAGGACUUUGCCUCCCCUUGGAAGCUAAAGCCCUGGCCGAUCUGAAGAAAGCCAAAGCCAUUCCCAGUUUUACUUUGCUAUUAGGAGAUAGAAAAAACCUUUAA